Molecule: transfer RNA, 73 nt
Filed under: Clonostachys rosea f. rosea IK726
Lineage: Eukaryota; Fungi; Ascomycota; Sordariomycetes; Hypocreales; Bionectriaceae
Rfam family: tRNA
About the family: Transfer RNA (tRNA) molecules are approximately 80 nucleotides in length. Their secondary structure includes four short double-helical elements and three loops (D, anti-codon, and T loops).
Source: RNAcentral
AGGGGUAUAGUUUAAUUGGUAAAACUGGCGAUUUUGCAUAUCGUUAAUUCGAGUUCGAUUCUUGAUACCUCCA